RNAcentral lists this ribosomal RNA (667 nucleotides) under Bacillus velezensis. RNAcentral describes it as "bacterial SSU rRNA". It matches the Rfam family "Bacterial small subunit ribosomal RNA", at positions 48 to 698 of the family's 1533-position model. Lineage: Bacteria; Bacillati; Bacillota; Bacilli; Caryophanales; Bacillaceae. The record is from RNAcentral.
GCUAUACAUGCAGUCGAGCGGACAGAUGGGAGCUUGCUCCCUGAUGUUAGCGGCGGACGGGUGAGUAACACGUGGGUAACCUGCCUGUAAGACUGGGAUAACUCCGGGAAACCGGGGCUAAUACCGGAUGGUUGUUUGAACCGCAUGGUUCAGACAUAAAAGGUGGCUUCGGCUACCACUUACAGAUGGACCCGCGGCGCAUUAGCUAGUUGGUGAGGUAACGGCUCACCAAGGCGACGAUGCGUAGCCGACCUGAGAGGGUGAUCGGCCACACUGGGACUGAGACACGGCCCAGACUCCUACGGGAGGCAGCAGUAGGGAAUCUUCCGCAAUGGACGAAAGUCUGACGGAGCAACGCCGCGUGAGUGAUGAAGGUUUUCGGAUCGUAAAGCUCUGUUGUUAGGGAAGAACAAGUGCCGUUCAAAUAGGGCGGCACCUUGACGGUACCUAACCAGAAAGCCACGGCUAACUACGUGCCAGCAGCCGCGGUAAUACGUAGGUGGCAAGCGUUGUCCGGAAUUAUUGGGCGUAAAGGGCUCGCAGGCGGUUUCUUAAGUCUGAUGUGAAAGCCCCCGGCUCAACCGGGGAGGGUCAUUGGAAACUGGGGAACUUGAGUGCAGAAGAGGAGAGUGGAAUUCCACGUGUAGCGGUGAAAUGCGUAGAGAUG